UACACGACCGUACCGCAAACCGACACUGGUGCGCGAGAUGAGUAUUCUAAGGCGCUUGAGAGAACUCAGGAGAAGGAACUCGGCAAAUUGACACCGUAACUUCGGAAGAAGGUGUGCCUUUAGUAGGUGAAGUCCCUCGCGGAUGGAGCCCAAUGAGGUUGCAAAAAAUCGGUGGCUGCGACUGUUUAUUAAAAACACAGCACUCUGCAAACACGAAAGUGGACGUAUAGGGUGUGACGCCUGCCCGGUGCUGGAAGAUUAAAUGAUGGGGUGCAAGCUCUUGAUUGAAGUCCCAGUAAACGGCGGCCGUAACUAUAACGGUCCUAAGGUAGCGAAAUUCCUUGUCGGGUAAGUUCCGACCUGCACGAAUGGCGUAACGAUGGCCACACUGUCUCCUCCUGAGACUCAGCGAAGUUGAAAUGUUUGUGAUGAUGCAAUCUCCCCGCGGAAAGACGGAAAGACCCCAUGAACCUUUACUGUAGCUUUGUAUUGGACUUUGAACAGAUCUGUGUAGGAUAGGUGGGAGGCUUUGAAGCAGGGUCGCUAGAUCUUGUGGAGCCAACGUUGAAAUACCACCCUGGUGUGUUUGAGGUUCUAACCUAGGCCCGUAAUCCGGGUUGGGGACAGUGCAUGGUAGGCAGUUUGACUGGGGCGGUCUCCUCCCAAAGUGUAACGGAGGAGUUCGAAGGUACGCUAGUUACGGUCGGACAUCGUGACGAUAGUGCAAUGGCAUAAGCGUGCUUAACUGCGAGACUGACAAGUCGAGCAGAUGCGAAAGCAGGACAUAGUGAUCCGGUGGUUCUGUAUGGAAGGGCCAUCGCUCAACGGAUAAAAGGUACUCUGGGGAUAACAGGCUGAUACCGCCCAAGAGUUCAUAUCGACGGCGGUGUUUGGCACCUCGAUGUCGGCUCAUCUCAUCCUGGGGCUGUAGCCGGUCCCAAGGGUAUGGCUGUUCGCCAUUUAAAGAGGUACGUGAGCUGGGCUUAAAACGUCGUGAGACAGUUUGGUCCCUAUCUUCCGUGGGCGCUGCAGAUUUGAGGAAGCCUGCUCCUAGUACGAGAGGACCGGAGUGGACGCACCUCUGGUGUAUCGGUUGUCACGCCAGUGGCAUUGCCGAGUAGCUAUGUGCGGAAGAGAUAACCGCUGAAAGCAUCUAAGCGGGAAACUCGUUUCAAGAUGAGAUCUGCCGGGGCCUUGAGCCCCCUGAAGAGUCGUUCAAGACCAGGACGUUGAUAGGUCGGGUGUGGAAGCGCAGUAAUGCGUUAAGCUAACCGAUACUAAUUGCUCGUGCGGCUUGACCCU
This 1302-nucleotide ribosomal RNA is filed under the name metagenome. Its description in RNAcentral is "bacterial LSU rRNA". It matches the Rfam family "Bacterial large subunit ribosomal RNA", at positions 1635 to 2925 of the family's 2925-position model. The record is from RNAcentral.